This 460-nucleotide ribosomal RNA is filed under the name uncultured bacterium. RNAcentral's name for it is "partial 16S ribosomal RNA". It matches the Rfam family "Bacterial small subunit ribosomal RNA", at positions 338 to 795 of the family's 1533-position model. The record is from RNAcentral.
CCUACGGGUGGCUGCAGUGAGGAAUAUUGGUCAAUGGACGAGAGUCUGAACCAGCCAAGUAGCGUGAAGGAUGACUGCCCUAUGGGUUGUAAACUUCUUUUAUAUGGGAAUAAAAUGUUCCACGUGUGGGAUUUUGUAUGUACCAUAUGAAUAAGGAUCGGCUAACUCCGUGCCAGCAGCCGCGGUAAUACGGAGGAUCCGAGCGUUAUCCGGAUUUAUUGGGUUUAAAGGGAGCGUAGGUGGAAUGUUAAGUCAGUUGUGAAAGUUUGCGGCUCAACCGUAAAAUUGCAGUUGAAACUGGCAGUCUUGAGUACAGUAGAGGUGGGCGGAAUGCGUGGUGUAGCGGUGAAAUGCUUAGAUAUCACGAAGAACUCCGAUUGCGAAGGCAGUUCACUGGACUGCAACUGACACUGAGGCUCGAAAGUGUGGGUAUCAAACAGGAUUAGAUACCCUUGUAGUC